GGCUGCUGCCGCCAGCUGAGCAACAGCAGCAGCAGCAGCAGCAAUCAGCUGCUGCUGCAAGCUGAGCUGCAGGGGCAGCAAGAAAAGAAAGGAAAGAAAGCAAGAAAAGAAAGAAAAGAAAGAAAGAAAGAAGGAAAGAAAAGAAAGAGAAGAAAGAAAAGAAAGAAAAGAAAGAGAGAUGGAAUGAAAUAAAAGUUGAAUUGCUCAAUAGUUUGAUUUUGACCCCGACAAUACACUUUUGCAGGAUAAGGAUCCUACCGUGAAAUUGACCGCGUACAAACCUAAUUGAGGGUAAAAGAAACUCGUUGGCGAAGUCGGUUCGGCAAUCCGUCGAGCCUACGCAAAGACAGCGCCAAAAGGACAAUUUCGGCUACGAUUGUCGCGAGCGCGGAUCGCGGUUCUCGGGAAAGUACGGGAAAUUGAUUUCUCGCGUUCAGGUAUCAGAUAAAGGUAAGUUGAGUUCAUAUCUAAUUAUAAUUGAGUUGAAGUGGAUACAUUGAAUGAGUUCUUGAUGCUUCAAGCUGAAAUAAAAGCUUCAGCUGAGGGGAGCUUAUGUAUUGAUAUGGUCUUGAGCUGAACAAAAGACUUUCAAGCAGAAUUUCUCGCUGAUUAGAGCUGAAUGGAAUCAGGUGGAACUUCUAAUUAAAGCAAACCUGAUUAAACAUUUAGUUAACCAGAUCUAGACUGAUUUACAUAAAGGAAACAGCUACUCAAAAAACAUGAAUGCUGAAAAACUUCAGCAUGGCAUAGAAUUCAGCCUAAUGCUGAAUUACAUGUUGAAUUAAGACUUCUAAGAAAAUACUUAUAAAUAUUGAGCUAAGAUCUUGAUAACUCAGCCUAAAGUUGAUGCUAUUGAUCCCUGAUCUUUGAUUAGAAAACUUAGAAGUUGAUGAAGAUUUUGAAGAGUUGUUAAUUAAACUAUGUACAUUUAUGUGUAAGUAGUAUACACAUAGAUAUUGAAGUGUUGGAAUAGAAAAUGCUAACUUGGAAAAUAUAAGAAUAUGACACCAAUGUAAUCUCUUUUAUUCUUAUAUAACUGAAAGUUAUACAUGCUCGAAAGUCUAAAUUGACUUUCCGACAGGUCGGCGACGCGCUAAUUACGAUAGAGACCGUUCUAGUUCUAUUUGCACUGAGUCGCGAGAGCUAGUUGUCGACGCAUUCCGAGACAUGAGAUCUUAGUGGAUUGACACCACUACAGGUGGGUGGUGCUAUCCGAAGUCUUUGAAUCACCUUUUAUGUUUAUGCUAUUCAUUGAGCAUAUUUACUUCUGUUUUCAUGCAUUAUAGGGUAUGGGCAUUGGCAUUAUGCAAGUGAUAUUGAACGUGUGAAUUCUUAUUGAUAGUAAGAACAUAUGAACAUAGAAUGUGGACAUAGAACCCUAUGAAUGCAUGGACUAUAACAAUAGUGAACUUGGUGACAUAUGACUAGAGAUUUGGUUAGCAUCGACAUUGGAAUUAUAAAACUAGCAUAAAGAGCUAGUUAGAGUAAAGUGUGACAGUGUUUGUCAGUUGAAUCCUCUAAAGGGGGAUCAGAUCAUACUCACAUUUGUUUAGUUCAAGUGAGGUCGCUCCUCCUUGAACGAUGAGCUCCGGAGUAGUCAUCUUUACUGGACCAGGAGGUGCGUCUCCCCCAAUUGACGGUCCCGUCGGGUGCAGGUUGCGUCUCCCCGAUAUUUGGGAUAGCGUCAGUGAGUUAUUGUUAACCAGAGGGUUAACCAUCGACUUCCUUCAUCAUAUACUUUUGACAUUUAUACGUACGUACGAAAAGUAAUUGAAAUGGGUUAGAGANAUUUGGUAAUUACACAUGGCUUAGUGGAUUUCCACUAAACCUGCCAGCAGGGGAGCCCUCAGCCAUCCUUAUCCCCCCCUCUGGUUCCAUACGUAGAGAGAGAGAAAGAGAAAAGAGAGAGGGAAGGAGAAGAGAAGAAGAAGAAGUAGAAGAAAAAGAGAAAAAAAGGUGAGAAUUCGAGUUUUAAUCCUCUCCCUCUCACCUCUCUCUCUCUGCUACUAGUAGCAGCAGCAGCUGCAAGCUAGAGCAGCAGCAGCAGCAGCAGCCCUUGCUGCUGCUGUGAGCAGGAACAGCAGCAGCAGUGUAAGCAGCAGCAGCAGCAGUGCAAGCAGCAGCAGCAACUGCAGCUAGCAGCAGCAGCAGCAGCAGCAGCAGCUGCGCCAGCAGCAGCAGCAGUCUGCGCCAACAGCAGCAGUAGAGGAGCAGCAUCAGCAGUAGCAUGAGUAGCAGCAACAACAGCACUAGCAGGAACAGCAGCAGCACCUGCUGCUGCUCAAGGCUGAUCAGCAGCAGCAGCAGCAGCAGCACUUGGCUGCUGCUGCAGGCUGAGCAGCAGCAGCAGCAGCACUUGGCUGCUGCUGCUAGUUGAGCAACGGCAGCAGCAGCAACAGCAGCAAUCAGCUGCUGCUGCAAGCUGAGCUGCAGGAGCAGCAAGAAAAGAAAGGAAAGAAAGCAAGAAAAGAAAGAAAAGAAAGAAAGAAAGAAGGAAAGAAAAGAAAGAGAAGAAAGAAAAGAAAGGAAAGAAAGAGAGAUGGAAUGAAAUAAAAGUUGAUUUGCUCGAUAGUUUGAUUUUGACCCCGACAAUGCACUUUUGCAGGAUAAGGGUCCUACCGUGAAAUUGACCGCGUACAAACCUAAUUGAGGGUAAAAGAAACGCGUUGGCGAAGUCGGUUCGGCAAUCCGUCGAGCCUACGCAAAGAUAGCACCAAAAGGACAAUUUCGGCUAUGAUUGUCGCGAGCGCGGAUCGCGGUUCUCGGGAAAGUGCGGGAAGUGGAUUUCUCGCGUUCAGGUAUCAGAUAAAGGUAA
This 2815-nucleotide long non-coding RNA is filed under the name Ananas comosus (pineapple). Its description in RNAcentral is "long non-coding RNA (ACOM_LNC034054)". Lineage: Eukaryota; Viridiplantae; Streptophyta; Magnoliopsida; Poales; Bromeliaceae. The record is from RNAcentral.